Molecule: ribosomal RNA, 421 nt
Filed under: uncultured bacterium
Lineage: Bacteria
Description: bacterial SSU rRNA
Rfam family: Bacterial small subunit ribosomal RNA
Source: RNAcentral
UGAGGAAUAUUGGGCAAUGCCCGCAAGGGUGACCCAGCAACGCCGCGUGGAGGAUGAAUGUCGUAAGAUUGUAAACUCCUGUUAGAGGGGAAGAAUAGUACCGGUUGGACCGGUAUAUGACUGUACCCUCAGAGAAAGCCCCGGCUAACUACGUGCCAGCAGCCGCGGUAAUACGUAGGGGGCAAGCGUUGUCCGGAUUUACUGGGUGUAAAGGGCGCGCAGGCGGGAUAAAAAGUCAGUGGUGAAAUCCUACAGCCUAACUGUAGAACUGCCUUUGAUACUUUUAUUCUUGAGUUCGGGAGAGAGAGACGGAAUUCCAGGUGUAGUGGUGAAAUACGUAGAUAUCUGGAAGAACACCAGUUGCGAAGGCGGUCUCUUGGUCCGACACUGACGCUGAGGCGCGAAAGCGUGGGGAGCAAAC